This 75-nucleotide transfer RNA is filed under the name Streptococcus pneumoniae. Its description in RNAcentral is "tRNA-Gly(gcc)". It matches the Rfam family "tRNA". Rfam says of the family: Transfer RNA (tRNA) molecules are approximately 80 nucleotides in length. Their secondary structure includes four short double-helical elements and three loops (D, anti-codon, and T loops). Lineage: Bacteria; Bacillati; Bacillota; Bacilli; Lactobacillales; Streptococcaceae. The record is from RNAcentral.
UGCGGAAGUAGUUCAGUGGUAGAAUACAACCUUGCCAAGGUUGGGGUCGCGGGUUCGAAUCCCGUCUUCCGCNGC